AAACGGCGUCGUUCAAGUGCCUCCCCUUUAAUCAAACCUAAUCUAGUAAUCUGAAUGGAAACCCCCCCAACCCCAGCCUCAUCUCUCUUCUCUCUCGACACUCCAGAGGGCCUCACCUUCGUCGCGUCACUCUCUCGUCUCUCCCCUCACCUCGUCAGUUGUCACUCUCAGUCUCUCACAGCGUCACCUCGUCACUCUCUCGGUCUCGCACUCAUAAGCUCGUCGUCGCGGUCUCGUGCCCCGCGUUCGCUUCGUCGGCGGCAGAAGCAAACGGAACCAGUCAAGCAGCAUCUUCUCCAUCGGUGGGUGGUGGUGGUCGUUGUCUUCUUGUUUCAUCGCAGUCUCGGAACCAGUCAACUGGUUUCCACACACCCCCUCUUCGCAGCCAACCACCAUUCCACCAACCCUAUCAGUGCCUCACAGGAGAUUCACUCCCCCUCUCCUCUCACCGGCGCUCUCCCUCUUCUCACUGCUUCCCCUUCUCACUCUCAAAGUCACCGGCGCUGCAGCAGUCGUCGCGGCGCCUGAGAAACCUCGGAGAACGUCGUCGUCGUGCGAAAGGCAGCGCCGUCGCCGUCGCGUGAGAGGCAGAACCGUCGCUGUCUUCGUCGCGGGAGAAGAAGAACCGUCGCCGUAUUCGUCGCGUCAGAGGAGUAUCAUCUUCGUCGCCAUCCAGAGGAGAGUCAUCUCCGGAGGAGAGUCGUUCUUCUGAUUUUUUCUAAAAAAUUCGCGGAUAUCCGUGAGACCCCAAUCCUCAGCGGAUACGGGGUCCUCGUUACUAGUCGUGGGGUCAGGGACGGUAGGACGGAUAUGGGGACCCGUUGCCACCCCUACUUAUCACCAAGG
Non-coding RNA from Arachis ipaensis, 846 nucleotides. The record is from RefSeq and is a predicted model, not a curated record. Lineage: Eukaryota; Viridiplantae; Streptophyta; Magnoliopsida; Fabales; Fabaceae.